RNAcentral lists this ribosomal RNA (433 nucleotides) under uncultured bacterium. Its description in RNAcentral is "partial 16S ribosomal RNA". It matches the Rfam family "Bacterial small subunit ribosomal RNA", at positions 29 to 507 of the family's 1533-position model. The record is from RNAcentral.
AACGAACGCUGGCGGCAUGCCUAACACAUGCAAGUCGAACGAGACCUUCGGGUCUAGUGGCGUACGGGUGCGUAACGCGUGGGAACCUGACCUUAGGUUCGGAAUAACUCCCCGACAGGGGUGAUAAUACCGGAUAAUGUCUUCGGACCAAAGAUUUAUCGCCUUUGGAUGGGCCCGCGUUGGAUUAGCUAGUUGGUAGGGUAAAAGCCUACCAAGGCGACGAUCCAUAGCUGGUCUGAGAGGAUGAUCAGCCACACUGGGACUGAGACACGGCCCAGACUCCUACGGGAGGCAGCAGUGGGGAAUAUUGGACAAUGGGCGAAAGCCUGAUCCAGCAAUGCCGCGUGAGUGAUGAAGGCCUUAGAGUUGUAAAGCGCUUUUACCCGGGAUGAUAAUGACAGUACCGGGAGAAUAAGCUCCGGCUAACUCCGUG